AUUGAACGCUGGCGGCAGGCCUAACACAUGCCAGUCGAGCGGAUGAAGGGAGCUUGCUCCUGGAUUCAGCGGCGGACGGGUGAGUAAUGCCUAGGAAUCUGCCUGGUAGUGGGGGAUAACGUCCGGAAACGGGCGCUAAUACCGCAUACGUCCUGAGGGAGAAAGUGGGGGAUCUUCGGACCUCACGCUAUCAGAUGAGCCUAGGUCGGAUUAGCAAGUUGGUGGGGUAAAGGCCUACCAAGGCGACGAUCCGUAACUGGUCUGAGAGGAUGAUCAGUCACACUGGACCUGAGACACGGUCCAGCCUCCUACGGGAGGCAGCAGUGGGGAAUAUUGGCAAAUGGGCGAAAGCCUGAUCCAGCCAUGCCGCGUGUGUGAAGAAGGUCUUCGGAUUGUAAAGCACUUUAAGUUGGGAGGAAGGGCAGUAAGUUAAUACCUUGCUGUUUUGACGUUACCAACAGAAUAAGCACCGGCUAACUUCGU
This 483-nucleotide ribosomal RNA is filed under the name uncultured bacterium. RNAcentral describes it as "partial 16S ribosomal RNA". It matches the Rfam family "Bacterial small subunit ribosomal RNA", at positions 30 to 506 of the family's 1533-position model. The record is from RNAcentral.